CCUACGGAGGCAGCAGUGAGGAAUAUUUGUCAAUGGGCGCUAGCCUGAACCAGCCAAGUAGCGUGAAGGAUGACUGCCCUAUGGGUUGUAAACUUCUUUUAUAUGGGAAUAAAGUGCAGUAUGUAUACUGCUUUGCAUGUACCUUAUGAAUAAGGAUCGGCUAAAUCCGUGCCAGGAGCCGCGGUAAUACGGAGGAUCCGAGCGUUAUCCGGAUUUAUUGGGGUUAAAGGGAGCGUAGGCGGGUUGUUAAGUCAGAUGUGAAAGUUUGCGGCUCAACCGUAAAAUUGCAGUUGAUACUGGCAGCCUAGAGUACAGUAGAGGUAGGCGGAAUUCGUGGUGUAGCGGUGAAAUGCUUAGAUAGCACGAAGAACUCCGAUUGCGAAGGCAGCCUGCUGGACUGUAACUGACGCUGAGGCUCGAAAGUGUGGGUAUCAAACAGGAUUAGAUACCCUUGUAGUC
RNAcentral lists this ribosomal RNA (459 nucleotides) under uncultured bacterium. RNAcentral describes it as "partial 16S ribosomal RNA". It matches the Rfam family "Bacterial small subunit ribosomal RNA", at positions 338 to 795 of the family's 1533-position model. The record is from RNAcentral.